RNAcentral lists this ribosomal RNA (1335 nucleotides) under Triticum aestivum (bread wheat). RNAcentral's name for it is "partial small subunit ribosomal RNA". Lineage: Eukaryota; Viridiplantae; Streptophyta; Magnoliopsida; Poales; Poaceae. The record is from RNAcentral.
AUGUCUUCACCGAGGAGGUUUUCCUGGGUCGUGCUGAGGAAGCACGUCCCGGUCUUCGACGCCGAGGAGAAGGAGCAGGAGGACAAGAUCAUGGCCAAGGCGAGCAAAGAUUGGGGGAACAUCGAGAAUGGGUCCUGGAUACUGGACCAGUUCUCGCUCGACGCGCACCUCGUCGAGCCGCCGGAGCUCUCCACCUUGUCCGUGCGCGCCAAGAUCGAGACGCAGGAGCGCGGCUUCGGGUGCGUCCUCGACUCCGUCGUGGAGAACUACCUCGUCAUGACUCUGGUGUUCGGCGACAGGUGGUACGGGCUCGUCUACGACGCCGCCAAGAACUCGCUCUCGCUGCUCCCCGCCACCAUGGAUUCCUUCGAGGGCUACGACUUCGCGUCGAGAGUUGAUUCUGUGCCCUUCUUCUUCCUGAGGCCACCUGCUGUCCUGCCACGCGACGACGGUUCCUACGAUCUGUUCAAUCUGGGGUUCCGUUUCGCUACACGCGACAGAGUGUUGCAGGGGUCGUCGGGCAUCAUCUUCCGGUGGUGGAGCCAUGCCGCUGGCAAGAAGUGGACGAAGCAGGAGGCGCGCUUCAGCCCGCAUACCCAGGUGCCGCGCCAGCCGGCUUACAAAGUAGACGCGGCCUUCACUUUCAAAGGGAAGGUUUUCUGGGCCGAUCUCAUGCUUGGCGCCAUUGUCUGUGACAUGCCAUCCACCCGUACCACUACCAGCGAAGACGAAGACCACGUGGAGCUGGACUUCAUCCAUCUUCCCCAGGAGUGCCAAGGCCGUGACUUCUCCCGCAGUUACCCCAAGGACCGUCGGACCAUGGGCCCUGUCGGGGACUCCAUAAAGCUCAUCUCCAUCGUCACCAUCAGUGGCGACAACCCCCGUGACAACACGCCCCCUGCCGAUGUCGUGUUGCGGAGCUGGACCCUGUCGCCAGAUCUCCGCUCAUGGACGAGAGACCAAGACAUGGAGCUGCCCUUGCCCCUGCUCUGGCAGUCGGAGGUCUACAAGCGCGAGAGGCUGCCGCAGGCCAUGCCGCAGUGCCCAGUCCUCAAGGCCGACGAGGAUGGGGCCGCGGAUUUGCUGCACAAGUUGUACCUGGAUCCCAAGGUCGUCGUGGCCGGCCAGGGCAAAGAGGCUCUGAAGAAGGUCUCGGCAGCACCCAAUGACAGACUGAAUGGCGUGGUGACAUCUUCAAACCCUCAGGUGGUGUCUGCAGGGCAGUGGGCAACCAUGGGGCAGCAGGAUUACAAGAAAGCCAGCAUGUAUGCUGGAGCUGAAGCCUACCAGUAUUACCAAAUCAAUUUCCAUAUAAGAUCUUGUUAUCAAAAAUAG